ACGUAGGGUGCGAGCGUUAAUCGGAAUUACUGGGCGUAAAGGGUGCGUAGGCGGAUAUACAAGUUAGAUGUGAAAUACCUGAGCUUAACUUAGGAGGUGCAUUUAAGACUGUAUGUCUAGAGUUUGUCAGAGGGGGGUAGAAUUCCAAGUGUAGCAGUGAAAUGCGUAGAGAUUUGGAGGAAUACCGAUGGCGUAGGCAGCCCCCUGGGAUAGAACUGACGCUGAGGCACGAAAGCGUGGGUAGCAAACAGG
Molecule: ribosomal RNA, 252 nt
Filed under: uncultured bacterium
Lineage: Bacteria
Description: partial 16S ribosomal RNA
Rfam family: Bacterial small subunit ribosomal RNA
Source: RNAcentral